GAUGAACGCUGGCGGCGUGCUUAACACAUGCAAGGCGAGCGAAGCGCUUAAGUUCGAUUCUUCGGAUGAAGACUUUUGUGACUGAGCGGCGGACGGGUGAGUAACGCGUGGGUAACCUGCCUCAUACAGGGGGAUAACAGUUAGAAAUGGCUGCUAAUACCGCAUAAGACCACAGUACUGCAUGGUACAGUGGUAAAAACUCCGGUGGUAUGAGAUGGACCCGCGGCUGAUUAGGUAGUUGGUGAGGUAACGGCCCACCAAGCCGACGAUCAGUAGCCGACCUGAGAGGGUGACCGGCCACAUUGGGACUGAGACACGGCCCAGACUCCUACGGGAGGCAGCAGUGGGGAAUAUUGCACAAUGGGCGAAAGCCUGAUGCAGCGACGCCGCGUGAAGGAUGAAGUAUUUCGGUAUGUAAACUUCUAUCAGCAGGGAAGAAAAUGACGGUACCUGACUAAGAAGCCCCGGCUAACUACGUGCCAGCCGCCGCCGUAA
This 495-nucleotide ribosomal RNA is filed under the name uncultured bacterium. Its description in RNAcentral is "partial 16S ribosomal RNA". It matches the Rfam family "Bacterial small subunit ribosomal RNA", at positions 28 to 523 of the family's 1533-position model. The record is from RNAcentral.